Molecule: transfer RNA, 73 nt
Filed under: Triticum aestivum (bread wheat)
Lineage: Eukaryota; Viridiplantae; Streptophyta; Magnoliopsida; Poales; Poaceae
Also listed under: 1 other name
Rfam family: tRNA
About the family: Transfer RNA (tRNA) molecules are approximately 80 nucleotides in length. Their secondary structure includes four short double-helical elements and three loops (D, anti-codon, and T loops).
Source: Rfam by way of RNAcentral
GUCUGUCCAGCUCAGUCGAUAGAGCGCAAGGCUAUUAACCUUUUGGUCUUGGGUUCGAGCCCCAAGUUGGGUG